This 253-nucleotide unclassified non-coding RNA is filed under the name uncultured Alphaproteobacteria bacterium. RNAcentral describes it as "contains 16S-23S intergenic spacer region". It matches the Rfam family "Bacterial small subunit ribosomal RNA", at positions 524 to 776 of the family's 1533-position model. Lineage: Bacteria; Pseudomonadati; Pseudomonadota; Alphaproteobacteria. The record is from RNAcentral.
UACGGAGGGGGCGAGCGUUGUUCGGAAUUACUGGGCGUAAAGGGCGCGCAGGCGGUUGGUCGCGUCAGAUGUGAAAGCCCCGGGCUUAACCUGGGAGGUGCAUUUGAUACGGGCUGACUUGAGAUCGGAAGAGGAGUGUGGAAUUCCCAGUGUAGAGGUGAAAUUCGUAGAUAUUGGGAGGAACACCGGUGGCGAAGGCGGCACUCUGGUCCGUAUCUGACGCUGAGGCGCGAAAGCGUGGGGAGCAAACAGG